AGCAAAAAAAAUAUUAAUAUGCGUCGACGGAACUUCGUGAGACGUACCUUGAAAAUUGAUGUAAAAAGCUAUUUUAUGUAGUUUUACGUCAUAUCGACGCUUUACUACAUUUCUCGACGUAACAUGAAAUCGAGAAAAUUAAUUUUUCAGUUACACAGUUCUAACGUAAUUUUGCCUACUUUAUUCUGUAUUUCAAUACACAUAAAAUGCUGCACAUCAUACCCGUCCAAGAUUAAAUUUAUUAUCGCAUCAAAAAAAUGAGAAAUACACAAAAUUAGCGUAAUAUUACACCAACUUCAGUGAAAUCGCUUCAUAAAACUUGCAACAAAACGUCAACAGCCAAGUCUUUCCGCUACAGUCAGUUCAGUUUUCACUCAACUCUGCCCGCAUCGGGCUAAUAAUAUUAGUUUGAUCAAUUGCUUUUUGCUUUUUGGGGAAUCAAAUUAAUAAUUUAAAUGUGGUAUAUUCCUCAUCGCACCGGAGAGAGGGCAUUUCUUUUCACAGGCUUUGCUAAUAAUGGAAAGAAUUCUCGUGAGCAGAAAAAAACAAGGACGGCGGAAGGGGAUGAACCGGAGAAAAAUCAUUCUUUACCUACCUACGGCAAAUCGGCACAGAAGCAUUGAAUUUUGCAGUUUCGUUUUCCGCUAAAUAAAUGAGUCGGCAAGUGCAAAGUUCCGAUCAUGUAGAAGAACGCUAGUGAUGAGGGAAGGAUUUUCGAAACUGCCAGCAGCAAAAGUGGCACCGAUCCGUCGGACAUUACCAUCAGUUCCGAAUCAACCAACAAAGCCGCGAUCGCGAAGGGACUUUAGCAUUGGAUGGAAACAUGGAAAUGUACAGGUAGGGCCGCAUCUUUUGACCCUCGAACAUUAGCAAUCCCCGUCGGUACUGUUCCGUUGAUAGUAUUUAUGUGUCCAACAAAAUCUUCCACAAAAAAUGCUGCUGUUAGGAUCCCACUAGCUCUCUGCUGGAUCAAUAUUAUGUAAGGAUGUGUGUAAUGUGAUGUUUCUGGAUAAGGUUGAAUAAGCUCAAAGCUAAUGUAUUUAUUGAAAACCACAAGAACCAUUGAAAAUUAACAUUUGUAAAAUAGGAAAUUAAACACAUAGUUGAGAAUUGGAUUAAAACUAAUA
Molecule: long non-coding RNA, 1127 nt
Organism: Armigeres subalbatus
Lineage: Eukaryota; Metazoa; Arthropoda; Insecta; Diptera; Culicidae
Exons: 3
Source: RefSeq, a predicted model, not a curated record